AAGUCACCACCUGAAAGUAACUGAAUAUAGUAACCUUGGUUAGCAUUGGACCGAUAGAAUGAACCCAUAAAGAAUGGCAGAUAAAAUUCUGCAGCAUUAAAAAGAGAGAGACUGAGAGAGAGAGAAAAGGGUUUGCAACCAUGUUUGCUGCUCCAUUGCGAUUGUAUACAAAGCAAAUAUCACAUUAUAUGAACAGUGAAGAUUGAAGGCCACUUUUAUAAUUUCAAGAAGAUAACUUACAGGAGUUCUCAUUUUGAAACCAAACAUUUUUAGCGGGCCUACUUGCACAUUACUGUGAUGUCAUCAUUUCUCCCAUACAAGCAAACAUGCUGACUAAACAAUUUUACUACAACUCUAACUCAAUAUUGGAGAUGAGAGUAGGUAGAUAACCAAAAUGUGGGAAUUUUAACAACCUAUCUUUAAUUUGUUCAAAUCCUUUUGUAUAAAACUAUUGUUCAGAGACAACACUGCAAAAGUGUAAAAGGUUCAAGGUAAAAAUCUAGACUUUCACUGACUGGCAGUGGAU
RNAcentral lists this unclassified non-coding RNA (526 nucleotides) under Hevea brasiliensis (rubber tree). The record is from RNAcentral. Lineage: Eukaryota; Viridiplantae; Streptophyta; Magnoliopsida; Malpighiales; Euphorbiaceae.